Molecule: long non-coding RNA, 273 nt
Organism: Protopterus annectens (West African lungfish)
Lineage: Eukaryota; Metazoa; Chordata; Ceratodontiformes; Protopteridae
Exons: 2
Source: RefSeq, a predicted model, not a curated record
CACAGGUACUGAAGAAAACAUCUGCAUGUAACAGCAUCAGCAACAGAAAGUUGCAGUCUUGCAGCACCAUUUUUUCCUUGAAAUGUCAAGCAUCAAAGUUUGAAUGAUGAAUAAAUUACGGGACAAAUAUGAAAUGCAACAAAAAGAUGAAGUGGAGAAUGAGUAUAUAAUGCAUUCUGACAAUCCAAGAAAAGCAGAUUGAAAGUUGGCAUUGUAUAAAUUGGAAAGACACCAGAGAAGAAUGCUACCUGAAUAAUAAAUGCCUAAAAUUGC